CAGGGAGACAACAAAAUGUUAAAUAUUAAUUUUGUCACCUUAGGUCGAUCGGUAUCUCACAUUCUUAAAUUUAUUAAGGAUUUUAUUUCCUAAGUUUUUUCUAGGUCACACCCAUUAUUUUCCCUGGGCCAUUAGCUCAGGUGGUUAGAGCGCACCCCUGAUAAGGGUGAGGUCCCUGGUUCAAGUCCAGGAUGGCCCAUAUCUCUAUGUUGGGGGUAUAGCUCAGUUGGUAGAGCGCCUGCUUUGCAAGCAGGAUGUCAGGAGUUCGAGUCUCCUAACCUCCACUGACCGAACUUGAUUCCCAUCUCCAAUUCUUUUGGAGUUGAGCUCGAUUGGAGUGUGAUUUAGAUGUGUCCGCUGGAUGACCCCAGCUUCCUGUCAUUCCAAGUUUUAGGUUGAUUCCUUGGAUUUGGUUGAUAAGAUGCUGGGCUCAGAUCAAAUGAUCAAGCAAUUGAUGAUUUGAUUUGAAGUUCUAGCAGAACCUUGACAACUGCAUAGGUGAGUCUGGAAAAAACAAAGCAUCUUACAGAUGCAUUGUUUUGAAUCUGAUC
This 551-nucleotide transfer RNA is filed under the name uncultured Prochlorococcus sp. Its description in RNAcentral is "partial 16S-23S ribosomal RNA intergenic spacer". The stretch from base 126 to 199 matches the Rfam family "tRNA". The record is from RNAcentral. Lineage: Bacteria; Bacillati; Cyanobacteriota; Cyanophyceae; Synechococcales; Prochlorococcaceae.